This 1891-nucleotide ribosomal RNA is filed under the name human gut metagenome. Its description in RNAcentral is "bacterial LSU rRNA". It matches the Rfam family "Bacterial large subunit ribosomal RNA", at positions 3 to 1991 of the family's 2925-position model. The record is from RNAcentral.
UCAAGCUAAAAAGGGCGCAAGGUGAAUGCCUUGGCACUGGGAGCCGAUGAAAGACGUGGUAAGCUGCGAAAAGCUUCGGGGAGGAGCAAACAUCCAUUGAUCCGGAGAUAUCUGAAUGGGGCAACCCAAUGGAGUUCAUACUCCAUUAUCCAAUACUGAAUCCAUAGGUAUUGGAAGGGAACCGCCUGAACUGAAACAUCUAAGUAGGGCGAGGAAGAGACAUCAAACGAGAUUCCGUAAGUAGUGGCGAGCGAACGCGGAAGAGGGCAAACCGGGAGUAGAAAUACUUCCGGGGUACGGACCGCAUUUAGGACUUGAGUUGUUAACCGAACGGCAUGGGAAGGCCGGUCAGAGAGUGUGAGAACCACGUAGGUGAAAACGACAAAAGCUGAGCGAGUUCCAGAGUACGGCCAGACACGUGAAACCUGGUCGGAAUACGGGGGGACCACCCUCCAACCCUAAAUACUACCCAGUGACCGAUAGCGUAUAGUACUGUGAAGGAAAGGUGAAAAGCACCCCGGGAGGGGAGUGAAAAAGAACCUGAAACCCUGUGCCUACAAGCACCUAGAGCACGUCAAUGUGUGAUAGGGUACUUUUUGUAGAACGGUCCGGCGAGCGAUUGUAUGCAGCAAGGUUAAGGACUUAAGGUCUGGAGCCGAAGCGAAAGCGAGUUUGAAAAGGGCGUUAAGUUGCAUAUAAUGGGCCCGAAACCGGGUGACCUACCCAUGGUCAGGUUGAAGUGGAAGUAAAAUUCCAUGGAGGACCGAACCGACCUCCGUUGAAAAGGCGGCGGAUGAACUGUGGGUAGCGGAGAAAUUCCAAUCGAACCCGGAGAUAGCUGGUUCUCCCCGAAAUAGUUUUAGGACUAGCCUCAAGUUAGAUACCUGGAGGUAAAGCACUGAAUAGCCUAGCGGCCGAGAGGUUAGCGAAGCUUAUCAAACUCAGAAUGCCAGAGUAUUGAUGCUUGGGAGUCAGACAGUGUCAGAUAAAUGUCAUUGUCAAAAGGGAAACAGCCCAGAUCUACAGCUAAGGUCCCAAAGUCAGGUUAAGUGGAAAACGAUGUGAAGAUACGCAGACAACCAGGAUGUUGGCUCAGAAGCAGCCACUCAUUCAAAGAGUGCGUAAUAGCUCACUGGUCGAGCGUCUUUGCGCGGAGAAUUUAACGGGGCUAAACCUGACACCGAAGCUUAGGCAAUACAGCAAUGUAUUGGGUAGGGGAGCGUUGUAUACGCGGUGAAACAGUAGCGCAAGCGGCUGUGGAGUGUAUAGAAGUGAGAAUGCCGGAAUGAGUAGCGCGAAUGCAGUGAGAAUCUGCAUGGCCGAAAGCCUCAGGUUUCUGGAGGAAGGUUCGUCCGCUCCAGGUUAGUCGGGAGCUAAGGUGAGGCCUAACGGCGUAGCCGAUGCACAGACGGUAGAGAUUCCGUCACCACCAAAAGAGUUAAACACAGGGACACAUAUGAAGUCUCGGAGCCGGGUGUUGGUUCCGGUAGCGAUCGAGGGAAAUUAGUACCGAAGUCCGGGAUGGAAGAUGGCGAGAAAAGCUGUGUGUAUUUCUGCGGUGCCCGUACCGCAAACCGACACAGGUAGGUAGGAAGAAGAUUCUAAGGCCAACGGGAGAAGGGUUGUUAAGGAACUCGGCAAAUUGACCCCGUAACUUCGGGAGAAGGGGUGCUCCAGAGAUGGAGCCGCAGAGAAUCGGCCCAAGCAACUGUUUACCAAAAACACAGGUUUGUGCUAAAUCGAAAGAUGACGUAUACGAGCUGACGCCUGCCCGGUGCUGGAAGGUUAAGAGGAGAUGUGCAAGCAUUGAAUCGAAGCCCCAGUGAACGGCGGCCGUAACUAUAACGGUCCUAAGGUAGCGAAAUUCCUUGUCAGGUAAGUUCUGACCCGC